CCAUCACAGUCUUUAAAGACACAAACGCAAACAGGAAGGUUAUGAGAGAAAGGGGCUCCCGCUCUUCCUCCCCCUGUUGUGGCCACGGCGGCUCACAGCAUUGCCCUGCACUCUCCCUGGGUCCUCAGACCUUCCCUGGGCUCCGUGGGGUCAUAGCCCUUCAACAAGACAUUGAUCACACAUGCAAAGCUUCAGACGAGAGCGAGGAUGCCCCUUCACCUUGUCACUCGGCCCAUUUCCACCGGGCCGUUCUCGCUCUCACCUGCAGGACCAUCACCUGAAGUUCCAACUGUAAGGAAGAGGUUACCCUCGACGUGUUGACUGGUCCGAAGCCUAGACGGCUUGCAAUGAAAUGGGCAAUGACCACUCGGGGACGAUGGAGACGUUCUCUCCAUGUGGCCAACAUCUGCGGGACGGUGAGAUUCUACUAAACUGCAGUGUUCCCACAGAGGAGUCGUGAUUCAGAAGGAAGCCAAAACCAUAAGUGACCUUGUUUUACAUUUCUACUCACUUUGAGACCUCCUCUCGGCUUCCUUCCUGGCAAAGGACUUCUUCAGAGGGAACCAAGAGCCUAUUUUGCCUUUUCCCACAGGCCAGUUAAACACCAUUAUGGCUGCUUGUGUUUAACCGCCAUCGCACAAACAGCCUUGAGGAGAAUUCAACAGCCUACUCAGAGGCUGUCUCCCAAGUCCACUGAGAUUGGCAAUGACAAAACUCUCAAUCCAAGGACGAGAAAUUGCUGCUGAGGAAGAGGCUCCCCAACCGCACUAUUUCUACGCGGCUUUGGUGUGUCCCGCGGCAAGUGGCCUCUUGAUUCCGGAUCACGUGGCCAGAGACGACCACCCAACACUCUCCCCGCCAGGGAAAUUACAUUCCCACUCAUUCACAAUUACAGUCUGUAGAGUCGCACAAAACAUCCCCAAGCCUUGUGCAGACAACCCCACAUCACAUAAAAGGAACAUGAUCCCGGAGCACGUGCAGG
Molecule: long non-coding RNA, 982 nt
Organism: Manis pentadactyla (Chinese pangolin)
Lineage: Eukaryota; Metazoa; Chordata; Mammalia; Pholidota; Manidae
Exons: 3
Source: RefSeq, a predicted model, not a curated record